This 460-nucleotide ribosomal RNA is filed under the name uncultured bacterium. RNAcentral describes it as "partial 16S ribosomal RNA". It matches the Rfam family "Bacterial small subunit ribosomal RNA", at positions 338 to 795 of the family's 1533-position model. The record is from RNAcentral.
CCUACGGGAGGCAGCAGUGAGGGAUAUUGGACAAUGGACGAGAGUCUGAACCAGCCAAGUAGCGUGAAGGAUGACUGCCCUAUGGGUUGUAAACUUCUUUUAUAUGGGAAUAAAAUGUUCCACGUGUGGGAUUUUGUAUGUACCAUAUGAAUAAGGAUCGGCUAACUCCGUGCCAGCAGCCGCGGUAAUACGGAGGAUCCGAGCGUUAUCCGGAUUUAUUGGGUUUAAAGGGAGCGUAGGUGGAUUGUUAAGUCAGUUGUGAAAGUUUGCGGCUCAACCGGAAAAUUGCAGUUGAAACUGGAAGUCUUGAGUACAGUAGAGGUGGGCGGAAGUCGUGGUGUAGCGGUGAAAUGCUUAGAUAUCACGAAGAACUCCGAUUGCGAAGGCAGCUCACUGGACUGCAACUGACACUGAGGCUCGAAAGUGUGGGUAUCAAACAGGAUUAGAUACCCUUGUAGUC